This 847-nucleotide ribosomal RNA is filed under the name uncultured bacterium. RNAcentral describes it as "bacterial SSU rRNA". It matches the Rfam family "Bacterial small subunit ribosomal RNA", at positions 51 to 893 of the family's 1533-position model. The record is from RNAcentral.
ACACAUGCAAGUCGAACGGAGUUCUUGAGGAAUGCGGCUUCGGCCAAAUGACUUUUGAACUUAGUGGCGGACGGGUGAGUAACGCGUGAGCAACCUGCCUUUCAGAGGGGGAUAACAUUUGGAAACAGAUGCUAAUACCGCAUAAGAUUACAGUACCGCAUGAUACAGUGAUCAAAGGAGCAAUCCGCUGAAAGAUGGGCUCGCGUCCGAUUAGAUAGUUGGUGAGGUAACGGCUCACCAAGUCGACGAUCGGUAGCCGGACUGAGAGGUUGAACGGCCACAUUGGGACUGAGACACGGCCCAGACUCCUACGGGAGGCAGCAGUGGGGAAUAUUGCACAAUGGGCGAAAGCCUGAUGCAGCAACGCCGCGUGAGGGAAGACGGUUUUCGGAUUGUAAACCUCUGUUUUCGGUGACGAAUAAAUGACGGUAACCGAGUAGGAAGCCACGGCUAACUACGUGCCAGCAGCCGCGGUAAUACGUAGGUGGCAAGCGUUAUCCGGAAUUACUGGGUGUAAAGGGAGCGCAGGCGGGAUAGCAAGUCAGCUGUGAAAACUAUGGGCUCAACCCAUAAACUGCAGUUGAAACUGUUAUUCUUGAGUGGAGUAGAGGCAAGCGGAAUUCCGAGUGUAGCGGUGAAAUGCGUAGAUAUUCGGAGGAACACCAGUGGCGAAGGCGGCUUGCUGGGCUCUAACUGACGCUGAGGCUCGAAAGUGUGGGGAGCAAACAGGAUUAGAUACCCUGGUAGUCCACACUGUAAACGAUGAUUGCUAGGUGUGGGGGGUCUGACCCCCUCCGUGCCGGAGUUAACGCAAUAAGCAAUCCACCUGGGGAGUACGGCCGCAAGG